AGGGGUUGUAGCUCAGAGGCCAGAGCGCCGGUCUCCAAAACCGGAUGCCGCAGGUUCGACUCCUGCCACCCUGCCA
Molecule: transfer RNA, 76 nt
Filed under: Streptomyces curacoi
Lineage: Bacteria; Bacillati; Actinomycetota; Actinomycetes; Kitasatosporales; Streptomycetaceae
Also listed under: 2 other names
Rfam family: tRNA
About the family: Transfer RNA (tRNA) molecules are approximately 80 nucleotides in length. Their secondary structure includes four short double-helical elements and three loops (D, anti-codon, and T loops). Further hydrogen bonds mediate the characteristic L-shaped molecular structure. tRNAs have two regions of fundamental functional importance: the anti-codon, which is responsible for specific mRNA codon recognition, and the 3' end, to which the tRNAs corresponding amino acid is attached (by aminoacyl-tRNA synthetases). tRNAs cope with the degeneracy of the genetic code in two manners: having more than one tRNA (with a specific anti-codon) for a particular amino acid; and 'wobble' base-pairing, i.e. permitting non-standard base-pairing at the 3rd anti-codon position.
Source: RNAcentral